RNAcentral lists this ribosomal RNA (253 nucleotides) under uncultured bacterium. RNAcentral describes it as "partial 16S ribosomal RNA". It matches the Rfam family "Bacterial small subunit ribosomal RNA", at positions 524 to 776 of the family's 1533-position model. The record is from RNAcentral.
UACGGAGGGUGCGAGCGUUGUCCGGAAUCACUGGGCGUAAAGGGCGCGUAGGCGGCCUGAUAAGUAGGGGGUGAAAUCCUGCGGCUUAACCGCAGGGCUGCCUUCUAAACUGUCAGGCUCGAACACAGUAGAGGCAGGUGGAAUUCCCGGUGUAGCGGUGGAAUGCGUAGAGAUCGGGAAGAACAUCAGUGGCGAAGGCGGCCUGCUGGGCUGUUGCUGACGCUGAGGCGCGACAGCGUGGGGAGCAAACAGG